UAAUACCUUAUAAUCCCUUCGGGGGAAAGCUUUAUGCGCUAAUGGAUGGGCCCGCGUUAGAUUAGCCUGUUGGUGAGGUAAUGGCUCACCAAGGCGACGAUCUAUAGCUGGUCUGAGAGGAUGAUCAGCCACACUGGGACUGAGACACGGCCCAGACUCCUACGGGAGGCAGCAGUGGGGAAUAUUGGACAAUGGGGGCAACCCUGAUCCAGCGAUGCCGCGUGAGUGAUGAAGGCCUUAGGGUUGUAAAACUCUUUCGCUAGGGAAGAUAAUGACGGUACCUAGUAAAGAAGAUCCGGCUAACUCCGUGCCAGCAGCCGCGGUAAUACGGAGGGAUCUAGCGUUAUUCGGAAUAACUGGGCGUAAAGCGAGCGUAGGCGGAUUUGUAAGUUGGAGGUGAAAUCCCAGGGCUUAACCCUGGAACUGCCUUCAAAACUACAUUUCUUGAGUUUGGUAGAGGAGAGUGGAAUUCCUAGUGUAGAGGUGAAAUUCGUAGAUAUUAGGAGGAACACCAGUGGCGAAGGCGACUCUCUGGGCCAAUACUGACGCUGAGGUUCGAAAGCGUGGGGAGCAAACGGGAUUAGAUACCCCGGUAGUCCACGCAGUAAACGAUGAGUGCUAGAUGUUGGGAACAUUAGUUUUCAGUAUCGCAGCUAACGCGUUAAGCACUCCGCCUGGGAAGUACGGCCGCAAGGCUAAAACUCAAAUGAAUUGACGGGGACCCGCACAAGCGGUGGAUCAUGUGGUUUAAUUCGAAGCAACGCGAAGAACCUUACCGGCUCUUGACAUACCAAUCGCGGAUCUAAGAGAUUAGAUCCUUCACUUCGG
RNAcentral lists this ribosomal RNA (828 nucleotides) under uncultured Alphaproteobacteria bacterium. RNAcentral describes it as "bacterial SSU rRNA". It matches the Rfam family "Bacterial small subunit ribosomal RNA", at positions 164 to 1024 of the family's 1533-position model. Lineage: Bacteria; Pseudomonadati; Pseudomonadota; Alphaproteobacteria. The record is from RNAcentral.